AGGUGCCCGUACCGCAAACCGACACAGGUAGGUAGGAAGAAGAUUCUAAGGCCAACGGGAGAAGGGUUGUUAAGGAACUCGGCAAAUUGACCCCGUAACUUCGGGAGAAGGGGUGCUCCAGAGAUGGAGCCGCAGAGAAUCGGCCCAAGCAACUGUUUACCAAAAACACAGGUUUGUGCUAAAUCGAAAGAUGACGUAUACGAGCUGACGCCUGCCCGGUGCUGGAAGGUUAAGAGGAGAUGUGCAAGCAUUGAAUCGAAGCCCCAGUGAACGGCGGCCGUAACUAUAACGGUCCUAAGGUAGCGAAAUUCCUUGUCAGGUAAGUUCUGACCCGCAUGAAAGGCGUAAUGAUUUGGGCACUGUCUCAACAGCCCGCCCGGCGAAAUUGUAGUACCGGUGAAGAUGCCGGUUACCCGCGACAAGACGGAAAGACCCCAUGGAGCUUUACUGUAGCCUAAUAUUGGGUUUCGAUGUUGCAUGCACAGGAUAGAUGGGACACUGGGAAACAAUCGCUUUGGCGGUUGCGGAGUGGCCGUUGGGAUACCAUCCUUGCGAUAUUGGAAUUCUAACCUGCGGCUCUGAAUCGAGUCGGGGGACAUUGUUAGGUGGGCAGUUUGACUGGGGCGGUCGCCUCCUAAAAAGUAACGGAGGCGUUCAAAGGUUCGCUCAGCUUGAACGGAAAUCAAGCAAAAGAGUGCAAACGCAGAAGCGAGCCUAACUGCGAGACUGACGGGUCGAGCAGUAACGAAAGUUGGAGUUAGUGAUCCGGUGGUAUGUGAGUGGAAAUGCCAUCGCUCAACGGAUAAAAGUUACCCUGGGGAUAACAGGCUGAUCUCCCCCAAGAGUCCACAUCGACGGGGAGGUUUGGCACCUCGAUGUCGGCUCAUCGCAUCCUGGGGCUGUAUUCGGUCCCAAGGGUUUGGCUGUUCGCCAAUUAAAGCGGUACGCGAGCUGGGUUCAGAACGUCGUGAGACAGUUCGGUCCCUAUCUGUCGUGGGCGCAGGAUAUUUGAUGGGAGCUGUCCCUAGUACGAGAGGACCGGGACGGACGUACCUCUGGCGCACCAGUUGUUCCGCCAGGAGCAUAGCUGGGCAACUACGUACGGAUCGGAUAAACGCUGAAAGCAUCUAAGCGUGAAGCCGACCCAAAGAUAAGAUAUCCCAUUGUUUCAAACAAGUAAGACCCCUUGAAGACUACAAGGUUGAUAGGCACGAUGUGUAAGUGGAGCGAUCCAUUCAGCAAGCGUGUACUAAUAGGUCGAGGGCUUGACCAC
Molecule: ribosomal RNA, 1273 nt
Filed under: human gut metagenome
Description: bacterial LSU rRNA
Rfam family: Bacterial large subunit ribosomal RNA
Source: RNAcentral